RNAcentral lists this ribosomal RNA (252 nucleotides) under uncultured bacterium. RNAcentral describes it as "partial 16S ribosomal RNA". It matches the Rfam family "Bacterial small subunit ribosomal RNA", at positions 524 to 776 of the family's 1533-position model. The record is from RNAcentral.
UACGUAGGUGGCAAGCGUUAUCCGGAAUUAUUGGGCGUAAAGAGGGAGCAGGCGGCAGCAAAGGUCUGUGGUGAAAGACUGAAGCUUAACUUCAGUAAGCCAUAGAAACCGGGCAGCUAGAGUGCAGGAGAGGAUCGUGGAACUCCAUGUGUAGCGGUGAAAUGCGUAGAUAUAUGGAAGAACACCAGUGGCGAAAGUGGCUCUCUGGUCUGUAACUGACGCUGAGGUUCGAAAGCGUGGGUAGCAAACAGG